This is an unclassified non-coding RNA of Pongo abelii (Sumatran orangutan), 148 nucleotides long. It matches the Rfam family "Metazoan signal recognition particle RNA". Rfam says of the family: The signal recognition particle (SRP) is a universally conserved ribonucleoprotein. It is involved in the co-translational targeting of proteins to membranes. The record is from Ensembl. NCBI's taxonomy places the organism in Eukaryota, Metazoa, Chordata, Mammalia, Primates, Hominidae.
GCUGGGCGUGUUGGCACACACCUGUAAUCCCAGCUACUUGGGAGGCUGAGGCAGGAGAAUUGCUUGAACCCAGGAGGCGGAGGUUGCAGUGAGCUGAGAUCAAGCCACUGCACUCCAGCCUGGGUGACAGAGCAAGACUCCAUCUCUA